CAGAGCCCAGAGCUCAUUACAAAUUAAAGCCUUAAUAAGACUUGGCCCAAGUCCAAAACACAACCCAAAGGGAAACAACUAUGCCAUUACAAUUCCAAGUUCCAACUGCUAUAUUAGCAGUUAGUAGCAGUCUGGUCUUCUCUGCAUUUAACAGCAAUGGUCAAACAGAUCUACAGGUGUUUGAACAUUCCGCCGUCGUCGGAGUCAAUCUGGUGGCACGGUGGUGGUGGGACGAAAGGGCCAGGGAGCUCCCAUUCCACCGCAAUAUGUCUGGCAUUAUUUGUAUCUGUAACAGAGCAGCACAUUAGCUUCUCACGGACAGAGGUGAUGAUUUGAUUAAGCACAGCAUUUUCCAUCCAAAUAUAGUUAACAAGAGCACAAGGCAUAAUUUUCUGUGGAGAAGUUCGCCUUCUCAAUCAAUAAUUGACAUGCCCGUGAGAUGAAUUCAGUAGGUGUAAAACGCGCACAACGUGUUUGUAUAAAGUUCCAAAUGGGGGAUACAAAUGGGCAUUGGAAACAAACGGUGGUUGUGUGACUCAGGGAGUGCAGAACAUAGACUGCAAAAAUUGGGAGUGUGCCAGGGCAACUGGUUUUCGAUCAUGUGUGGAGAAUUGCAGUCGACAAGAUGAAGUUAUGUUUGGGUAUGCAGUGAGAGAAGUGAGAACCAAGUGAGGUGUGUCCAUGCAAGGGUAGGAUAUGGACAUAGGGAUUUGAGUCAUUGACAGUGUGAGGAAGUGAGUAGAUGCCUGUGGGUGAAGGUUACCAUUUGAUUUUGUCAUGAAGGUAUUAAACAUUAAUUUAGAUAGAUCAUUAUUUAGGCAUAAAUGGGGAUUUUGCAUUUGGUUAUUUGAUAAAAAUUUAUAGAAUCUGAUUAUAUAUGUCUUAUGUUUUCAUCUGCGUGAAAAGGGGUAAAAAAAAAAAAAAAAAGAAGUCUUUUUGUUAUAUAUAUAUAUAAAAUCAAUUUAAAGAGUAUUUGGGUAUAUAUUUAGGAUCAUUUUAUCAAAGCAAUAAAGUUAUGAAUUCAUGACCCCAACUGUCUAGAAUUAGGAAUAUAUAUAUGAUUAAAAUAAAGCGUUAGAUACAGACUGAAAUGGCAUCCAUAUUGGAGUUCAACUACUUCUUUUAAAGUGUUAUGAAUUAUUUUCUCCUAUUUUUAAUGUAUUGUAUUAUGGCCGACACUUGUCUGAUUCUCGAUCAAAAACUAUUUCUAAGUGCUUUGCAUUAUUUUCUCCUAUGUAAAUGUAUUGUAUUAUGGGCGGCAUUUUGAGUAGCUCUACAAAAAAAAAUUAUGGGGAUCGUUGUCCUUUAGGAUUUCCCUUUCCAUCCUUGGAGACUUUGAUGUUUGAGGACAUGCCGGCAUGGGAAGAAUGGUCUUGUUCUAUUUCUAUUGGUGUUGAAGAAUCUGGAAGUCAAUUUCCUUGCCUCCGUGAGCUCAGCAUACAUGGUUGUCCCAAAUUGACUAGGGUUUCACUUUUAAGGCUUUGCUCUCUUCAAAAAUUAUACUUGGAAGAGUGUGAGGUGGUGGUGCUAAAAAGUAUUGUUGAUGGGACUUCACUAUCCAGCUGAGAAGUUGUGAAUGUUAUAGGGCUAGUAUCAGAGCUGGUCUCCUUUCUUCCUACAACUCUAACUGAUUUAUGCAUCGCAAAUAUGCCAAAUCUGUUAUCCAUGAAGGGCCUCCAAAAUCUCACCUCACUUCAAAUUCUAUCUAUCCGCAACUGCCCUAACUUUCGAUACUUGCCAGAGGAAGACCAGCCUUCCACGCUUCAAAGACUUUGGUUCGAUGAUCGUGCACCUCUUCAACCACUACACUUGGAGAACAAAGGUGAUUACUGGCCAGGGAAUCAUCCUUCCUAUUAUUUACCGGAAAAAAAAAAGGUGAUUACUGGCCAGAACCUUUAAGAAAAAGGUCUUGAAAAAUGUUCAGACUAUUUUUUUAUGCGACGUAAUGCUCAUGUUCUACAGUCUCAUGUUCAUAUUUAGGUAUUUUCUUCUGCAUCAUGCGAACUGAUGUUUUCUGUUCUUGUUAUUUGGGUGACUCUUGUUUUUGUCUUGUUAUCUUUUCCAGAAUUACCAACCUCUACAAUUAUAUUUCCUAUGUGAUUGUUGUAAUGUUUAUGGUAUAUAUAUGGUUUUUCUUUUUUUUUUUUUUUUUUUUUUUUUUUUUUUUUUUUUUGUGAUAGAAAAAAAUUAAAGGAAAAGUUAAAUUAAAAGUGGUGGGACCCACCACUUAUACAAAUUUUGGCCAAAAGGCCAUGUUGGCCUUUACAUUUACUCACUCCUGUACGCUCUUUAUCUCUCCCCCUUCUUGAUCCAUUUUUUUUUUCUUUUCAAAACAAAAAUUUAAUUUUUGAUUUCUCCUUCAUCUUUUGGUAUUUUUGGGAGUUGUUUGCGGCAAAACGAAGAGCGCGUCGAGAUCUACGAUUUGAUCGGAGCAAAAGUGGUUUUGAUGCACUCUAGGGAUUUCAAAUUUAGGACCCAUUUUGAGGAUUUUUCUAUAAAAUUGAGGAUACGGGAAGGAAGUGGCGGACCACGCUCCUCCACAGGUCUUGAUGGGUUAGUGGACUAUUUUGACAUACUUUGUAGUUAUGAUCUCAUUUAAUUAUUAUUUAUUUAUUUAUUUAUUUAUUUUUAUAAAUCCUGGAAUAACACGUAUAAUAUGCAUUGACAUAGGAAAGGACGGUAGUGUCCUUAGUUGACCUCGGGUUCGGGUAUGGACCCGGUUAGCGAUUCGAACCCACGGGUUCAGGUCGUUACAAUUGUUUAAUUGAAUUUGAGAAGUGAAAUUUAUAUCUCACAUUGUUCCCAUAAUAUUGUUCUACAAACUAUCUUGCCUACUAAUUAUAUGUAGUUUUUCCUUGUUGGGCAGGGUUACAGCAUGGUUAAAACAUCAUUAUUUUCAAAGAUUUUGAUGUGAAAAGGAUUGAGAAAAAUAAUUUUAUCGACUUCGAAAGACAUUUUUUUUUUUUUUUUUAAUAUACUCUCUUACUUCAUAUACUCUCUUUAAUUAUUAUUAUUUUUUAUCAGAUAAGAAUUCAAUUGAAUAGCUCUAUUAUCAUUUGGUUGCUGUAGACAUUAAAAAUCUGCUCAAUCAAACGUAUCCUUAAUAAAUCACGUUUGGUAAUCAAGGAAUGUAUGUUAUGGAACAAUUGGGAAGUGUGGAAUUGUUCUUCCCUCCCUAUUUAGCUAUAUUCACUUGAACAUUAUUUUUUAUCAAGUAUCACAUUUAGCAUUGACCUAUCUUCAAUGGGUAGGAGUUUUUCUUUAAAGGAUAUAAGAACACUAAAAUUCAUAAAUCAUUAAGUAUUAGAAACUAAUUUUGCAUAAAUAAAAAAUAAAAUUAAAAAAAAAUAAAGAAAAAGAAAA
Molecule: long non-coding RNA, 3363 nt
Organism: Cornus florida
Lineage: Eukaryota; Viridiplantae; Streptophyta; Magnoliopsida; Cornales; Cornaceae
Exons: 2
Source: RefSeq, a predicted model, not a curated record